UACGUAGGGGGCAAGCGUUGUCCGGAAUUAUUGGGCGUAAAGAGCGUGUAGGCGGUCCGGUAAGUCAGCUGUGAAAGUCAAGGGCUCAACCCUUGAAAGCCGGUUGAUACUGUCGGGCUAGAGUCCGGAAGAGGCGAGUGGAAUUCCCGGUGUAGCGGUGAAAUGCGCAGAUAUCGGGAGGAACACCAAUGGCGAAGGCAGCCCCCUGGGCUAGCACUGACGCUCAGGCACGAAAGCGUGGGGAGCAAACAGG
RNAcentral lists this ribosomal RNA (253 nucleotides) under uncultured bacterium. Its description in RNAcentral is "partial 16S ribosomal RNA". It matches the Rfam family "Bacterial small subunit ribosomal RNA", at positions 524 to 776 of the family's 1533-position model. The record is from RNAcentral.